This 495-nucleotide ribosomal RNA is filed under the name uncultured bacterium. RNAcentral describes it as "partial 16S ribosomal RNA". It matches the Rfam family "Bacterial small subunit ribosomal RNA", at positions 28 to 507 of the family's 1533-position model. The record is from RNAcentral.
GACGAACGCUGGCGGCGUGCCUAAUACAUGCAAGUCGAACGCUGAAGGAGGAGCUUGCUUCUCUGGAUGAGUUGCGAACGGGUGAGUAACGCGUAGGUAACCUGCCUGGUAGCGGGGGAUAACUAUUGGAAACGAUAGCUAAUACCGCAUAAGAGUAGAUGUUGCAUGACAUUUGCUUAAAAGGUGCAAUUGCAUCACUACCAGAUGGACCUGCGUUGUAUUAGCUAGUUGGUGGGGUAACGGCUCACCAAGGCGACGAUACAUAGCCGACCUGAGAGGGGGCUCGGCCACACUGGGACUGAGACACGGCCCAGACUCCUACGGGAGGCAGCAGUAGGGAAUCUUCGGCAAUGGACGGAAGUCUGACCGAGCAACGCCGCGUGAGUGAAGAAGGUUUUCGGAUCGUAAAGCUCUGUUGUAAGAGAAGAACGAGUGUGAGAGUGGAAAGUUCACACUGUGACGGUAGCUUACCAGAAAGGGACGGCUAACUACGUG